ACAACGAAGAGUUUGAUCGCGCUCGGGAUGAACGCUAGCUACAGGCCUAACACAUGCAAGUCGAGGGGCAGCAUAGUAGCAAUACUGAUGGCGACCGGCGCACGGGUGCGUAACGCGUAUGCAACCUGCCUUAUACAGGGGGAUAGCUUUCGGAAACGAGAAUUAAUACCCCAUAACAUUUUGGUAAACCUUUACUGAAAUUAAAAACCUCCGGCGGUAUAAGAUGGGCAUGCGUGACAUUAGCUAGUUGGUAGGGUAGCGGGCCACCAAGGCGAUGAUGUUCAGGUUCUGAGAGGAUGAUCCCCCCCCACCCUGGUACUGAGACACGAACGAGACUCCUACGGAGGCGCAACAGGAAUAUUGGGCAAUGGAGGCAACUCUGACCCAGCCAUGCCGCGUGCAGGAAGACAGCCCUAUGGGUUUUAAACUGCUUUUAUACAAGGGCGAAUUCUGUUACAGUAACAGGUUGACGGUACUGCAUGAAUCCGGCUAACUCCGUGCCAGCAGCCGCGGUAAUACGGAGGAUCCGAGCGUUAUCGGAUUUAUUGGGUUUAAAGGGUGCAGGGCGGUUCAUUAAGUUCAGUGGUGAAAUCCUAUCGGGCUCAACCCGGUCAUCGCCAUUGAUACUGGUAGACUUGAGUACAGGUGACGGAGGCGGAAUUGGACAAGGUAGCGGUGAAAUGCCUAGAUAUGUCCAAGAACACCGAUUGGGAAAAGCAGCCAUACGAAACUGUAACUGACGCUGAUGCACGAAAGCGUGGGUAUCGGGAACAGGAUUAGAUGUACUUGGUAGUCCACGCCGUAAACGAUGAUUACUGGUUGUUUGUUUGAAUAGAUAAGCGACUGAACGAAAGUAUUAAGUAAUCCACCUACAUGGUACGUUGGCAACAAUGAAACUCAAAGGAAUUGACGCGUUUAAGCGACAGGUGCAUGUGGUUUAAUUCGAUGAUACGCUGAGGAACCUUGACCCGGGCUUAAAUGUAGAGUGGCAUAAAGCGUAGAGAUGUUUUUCUCCUUCACGGGACUCUUUACAAGGUGCUGCCUGGUUUGUCGUCAGCUCGUGCCGUAGAGGUGUCAGGGUUAGAGUCCCCUAACGAGCGCAACCCUUGUCGUUGGUUGCCACCGGGUUAAGCUGGGCACUCUAGCGAGACUGCCGCCGUAAGGCGCGAGGAA
RNAcentral lists this ribosomal RNA (1173 nucleotides) under Bacteroidales bacterium. RNAcentral describes it as "bacterial SSU rRNA". It matches the Rfam family "Bacterial small subunit ribosomal RNA", at positions 1 to 1171 of the family's 1533-position model. Lineage: Bacteria; Pseudomonadati; Bacteroidota; Bacteroidia; Bacteroidales. The record is from RNAcentral.